Long non-coding RNA from Rhea pennata, 1461 nucleotides. RefSeq lists it as uncharacterized. The record is from RefSeq and is a predicted model, not a curated record. The transcript is spliced from 7 exons. NCBI's taxonomy places the organism in Eukaryota, Metazoa, Chordata, Aves, Rheiformes, Rheidae.
GGGAGACGGGGGAGGGGGCGGGGGCGAGGCGGGAGCGGAGCCGCGCCGCUCUGCCCCCUCGCAGCAGUCCGGGCUGUGAUCGUGGAGAGCAAGGCCCUUGGGCGUGAUUUCUUCUUCUCUUCUUCUUCUUUUUUCUUUUCUUUUUUUUUCUUUUUUUUUUUUUUUUCUUUUUCCUUUUUUUCUCUUUCUUUUUAACCCUGGCGGGAGGCCGCGGAGAAGUGCGAGGCACAGCCUGUUUUGUCUUUUCACGCUCGGAGAAUGAUUUAGAGGGGCAGAACGACUCGUUGCUUGGAAGUACUAGCUGGCGCCAAGGCAAGCCCAGAUGAUCACAAACUCCACCUGAAAUGACUUUGAAAACUGAAUGACUUCUUGGGGAGUGUCUUUGAUAUUCUUGUUAUAUCUCCACCAACUUCUGCUUGAGGUGCAAUCUUCUUGCAAAAGCAGCUGGGAAGUUGCAGUUAAACACUUGGAUGAAGAAUAAAAAUAGCAGGAGUAGUUUGUAGCUAGAUAUGGUGAUUAGUCUAACCAACUUGCAUCAUGAAAUUAUAAAACUUCUAAUACAAUGGAAGAAGGAGAGAGAGAGAGAGAGAGAGACUGCUGUUCUGCUACUAUGCUUUUACUGUGAUCAGCUCAGACUGUCCUGAAAUUGCACAGUAAUCUCUUUAGUAUGUGUGGUUACUGAGUAUAAGAUGCAGAUGGUCACCCAAAGAUGACUUUAAAAGAAAGAGCUCAUUUUCUACAUGUACGUCUGUUCUGGGCCAGAAAUGUUGGCUACCUUCAAAGAGGAAGAGGCGGACUGUGGGUGCAAAUUGAGAAAUGAAAGACUCUUCAGGAUGAAACGGAGAUAUGUCAUGUGGAGAGAAAUGGGAUCUUCAAACUGUACUUUCCUGAAGCAUGAACUGACUUACUGCUGCUAAUACACAGGAGCUCUUGCUGCAUUUCUGCUUAUUUGGAUCUGUUCAUUUCAAGUCAAGCUGUAUGAAAACGAAACCAACUUGUAAGGUCAAUAAGCAUAGCAUAAUAACUGGAGCAAUAAUGAACGUCUGUCUUCGUCUGUCUUAGCAACACUACUAGUCACUUGGAUUUGGCUUGCAUCAAGCAUCUAUUAAACUGCUUUGAUUGACAUGACCUUGACUGCAAAACCCAGUGCACAAGCACAGACGCACACAAAUAGAAUUCUUUUACAGUUAAUUGUUUCUGACCUGCUGGUGAUGAAAUGAAGAUUUUUGUGUUAAAAUGUGUGGAGAAGAGAAUGAAGAACCUUUCUCUAACUGCCCUCUGCCUCCCCACCCUCUUCUGUCUCUUCCUUCCCUUGUCUUGUUGAGCUGUCAUUUAAAGUGAUAAUGCAAGGUACAGUCAGAGCUCAAUGUGAGUGUUGAAAUUCUGGUUUAUAUUUGCAAAAUUUGUAGUACGCUUCUGUUUUGAUCUUCAUGACUCUAGUUUGGAAAUUAUUAAAAAACA